This 497-nucleotide ribosomal RNA is filed under the name uncultured bacterium. RNAcentral describes it as "partial 16S ribosomal RNA". It matches the Rfam family "Bacterial small subunit ribosomal RNA", at positions 28 to 507 of the family's 1533-position model. The record is from RNAcentral.
GAUGAACGCUGGCGGCGUGCCUAAUACAUGCAAGUCGAGCGAACAGAUGAGGAGCUUGCUCCUCUGACGUUAGCGGCGGACGGGUGAGUAACACGUGGAUAACCUACCUAUAAGACUGGGAUAACUACGGGAAACCGGAGCUAAUACCGGAUAAUAUAUUGAACCGCAUGGUUCAAUAGUGAAAGACGGUUUUGCUGUCACUUAUAUAUGGAUCCGCGCCGCAUUAGCUAGUUGGUAAGGUAACGGCUUACCAAGGCAACGAUGCGUAGCCGACCUGAGAGGGUGAUCGGCCACACUGGAACUGAGACACGGUCCAGACUCCUACGGGAGGCAGCAGUAGGGAAUCUUCCGCAAUGGGCGAAAGCCUGACGGAGCAACGCCGCGUGAGUGAUGAAGGUCUUCGGAUCGUAAAACUCUGUUAUUAGGGAAGAACAAAUGUGUAAGUAACUAUGCACGUCUUGACGGUACCUAAUCAGAAAGCCACGGCUAACUACGUG